GAUGAACGCUAGCGGUAGGCUUAAUACAUGCAAGUCGAACGGUAACAGGUGUAGCAAUACAUGCUGACGAGUGGCAGACGGGUGAGGAACUCGUACGCAAUCUUCCUCUUUCUGGUGAAUAGCCCUGAGAAAUUAGGAUUAAUACACCAUAGUAUUACGAAGUGGCAUCAUUUUGUAAUUAAAACUCCGGUGGAAAGAGAUGAGCGUGCGCCUGAUUAGAAGUUGGUGAGGUAACGGCUCACCAAGUCAACGAUCAGUAACUGGUGUGAGAGCACGACCAGUCACACGGGCACUGAGAUACGGGCCC
Molecule: ribosomal RNA, 307 nt
Filed under: uncultured bacterium
Lineage: Bacteria
Description: bacterial SSU rRNA
Rfam family: Bacterial small subunit ribosomal RNA
Source: RNAcentral